CUCUGGGAAGGGUUGUGGUACAGUGUAAAUCCUGGCUGAUACUUGGUGUUGGCUCACCCAUUGGCCUUGACUAGGAUGAAUGGUUAUGUAUUGUUUAUGCUGCGGUAAUGCCUCAGGGCAAUGACAAUUCAGUGAGAGAGCUGGACCCUGUACAAAUGUCCAACUGGAUGGAUAAACUCUGAAAGAACAGUCUGCCAGAAAAACUGUCAGAACAGGAAGAAAAUAUCCCCAUGAAACUUUUAUGCAUGUGGUUUUGGUCUUCUGGGUUGAAUCACUGUGCCAUGACUUUGAAGAUCACUCCAGAAUCCAGAGCUACUCACAGCAGCAAGUCAUGGAGGUUUUGGAGCACAAGAUGCCAGGAGCGAGUUGAAAAAGAAGGCUUUUACAUACCCUGCUGCUCUGCCUGGGAGGUAAAAAGGGGUAAUCUUUUUGCACACCACACGAAGCAGGUGAUAUUCUUUUGCUACCAGAAGGAUCUGAAAACUUUGUGGAAAUGGUGCUGUUUAAUACUUUCCCAUGGCAAAGGUUAGCUCCUACGUGUGUGUGUUGGUUGAAUAAAACAUUUUCUUA
Long non-coding RNA from Cygnus olor (mute swan), 570 nucleotides. RefSeq lists it as uncharacterized. The transcript is spliced from 4 exons. The record is from RefSeq and is a predicted model, not a curated record. Lineage: Eukaryota; Metazoa; Chordata; Aves; Anseriformes; Anatidae.